UACAUGGGGUGCAAACGUUGCUCGGAUUCAUUGGGCGUAAAGGGUGCGUAGGUGGCGCCGUAAGUCGGGUGUGAAAUUUCGGAGCUUAACUCCGAAACUGCAUUCGAUACUGCGGUGCUUGAGGACUGGAGAGGAGACUGGAAUUCAUGGUGUAGCAGUGAAAUGCGUAGAGAUCAUGAGGAAGACCAGUGGCGAAGGCGGGUCUCUGGACAGUUCCUGACACUGAGGCACGAAGGCCAGGGGAGCAAACGGG
RNAcentral lists this ribosomal RNA (253 nucleotides) under uncultured bacterium. RNAcentral's name for it is "partial 16S ribosomal RNA". It matches the Rfam family "Bacterial small subunit ribosomal RNA", at positions 524 to 776 of the family's 1533-position model. The record is from RNAcentral.